GAUGAACGCUGGCGGCGUGCUUAACACAUGCAAGUCGAACGAAACACCUUAUUUGAUUUUCUUCGGAACUGAAGAUUUGGUGAUUGAGUGGCGGACGGGUGAGUAACGCGUGGGUAACCUGCCCUGUACAGGGGGAUAACAGUCAGAAAUGACUGCUAAUACCGCAUAAGACCACAGCACCGCAUGGUGCAGGGGUAAAAACUCCGGUGGUACAGGAUGGACCCGCGUCUGAUUAGCUGGUUGGUGAGGUAACGGCUCACCAAGGCGACGAUCAGUAGCCGGCUUGAGAGAGUGAACGGCCACAUUGGGACUGAGACACGGCCCAAACUCCUACGGGAGGCAGCAGUGGGGAAUAUUGCACAAUGGGGGAAACCCUGAUGCAGCGACGCCGCGUGAGUGAAGAAGUAUUUCGGUAUGUAAAGCUCUAUCAGCAGGGAAGAAAAUGACGGUACCUGACUGAGAAGCCCCGGCUAACUACGUG
This 481-nucleotide ribosomal RNA is filed under the name uncultured bacterium. RNAcentral's name for it is "partial 16S ribosomal RNA". It matches the Rfam family "Bacterial small subunit ribosomal RNA", at positions 28 to 507 of the family's 1533-position model. The record is from RNAcentral.